CAGUAAUGACCAGACACAUCACACCCGCCUUCUAGAAGCCCUCCCUCACAAACCGGAUCAACUGCUAUGAUAAAGGGUUCUGCAGAGUGGCCGAAGUUCAUCCUCCCUUCUCCAGGCACAAACUAUGAACUAGCCUCUGGGGCCCCUUCCUGUGCUCUCUGAGGGAGCCGUGCCCUCAACUCCACAGUGAAAAGAUUGGAUAAAAUGAACCCUAAACAUCCCUGCAGCUCUUGGAUUCAAUGUUUUCCCAGGGAGAUGGACUAAUUACAAGAGAAGUGUUGAAAAGUUGAUAUUCCUGCAGAUGGAGAAGGAAGGAGGAUUGGGAACCUCCAAGGACCUCUUUGUUCUACCACAUGCAGCAAACAGCACAGAACUCAGGGCUUCUGUGAAGAGCAACAGUUCCCAGACACUCUGCUGGCUGAGGCUGAUCUGGUUCCCAGGACACUUCUGGG
Molecule: long non-coding RNA, 452 nt
Organism: Homo sapiens (human)
Lineage: Eukaryota; Metazoa; Chordata; Mammalia; Primates; Hominidae
Source: Ensembl